AUGGCGAUGAUCGGUGAAAUGGAUGCGGACAGCGUUGUAGAAUACUUCAGGGGCAAGAGCAUCCUCAUCACGGUGCUUGUGGAGAAGAUACUUAGGGUUCAGCCAGAUGUGAAGAAGCUCUUCCUCUUGAUUCGAGCCCCCAAUAUUGAAUCGGCAAAGCUUCGGAUUCAGUCAGAGGUUACAGGGAGCGGGAUCUUUCAACUGCUGAAAAAACAACAUGGUGUGUGGUUCAAUAAUUUCAUCGAAGAAAAGAUCUGUCCUUUGGCAGGCGACAUCAUGCACAAAGACUUUGGACUAGACAUUGCCAGCCUGAUAGAUUUGUCCAAGGACAUAGACAUCAUCGUCAACGGAGCUGCAACUACAAAUUUCUCUGAAAGAUUUAUAUGA
RNAcentral lists this ribosomal RNA (387 nucleotides) under Triticum aestivum (bread wheat). Its description in RNAcentral is "partial small subunit ribosomal RNA". Lineage: Eukaryota; Viridiplantae; Streptophyta; Magnoliopsida; Poales; Poaceae. The record is from RNAcentral.